RNAcentral lists this ribosomal RNA (253 nucleotides) under uncultured bacterium. RNAcentral's name for it is "partial 16S ribosomal RNA". It matches the Rfam family "Bacterial small subunit ribosomal RNA", at positions 524 to 776 of the family's 1533-position model. The record is from RNAcentral.
UACGAAGGGGGCUAGCGUUGCUCGGAAUCACUGGGCGUAAAGCGCACGUAGGCGGCUCUUUAAGUCAGGGGUGAAAUCCCAAGGCUCAACCUUGGAACUGCCUUUGAUACUGGGGAUCUCGAGUCCGGAAGAGGUUGGUGGAACUGCGAGUGUAGAGGUGAAAUUCGUAGAUAUUCGCAAGAACACCAGUGGCGAAGGCGGCCAACUGGUCCGGCACUGACGCUGAGGCUCGAAAGCGUGGGGAGCAAACAGG